RNAcentral lists this ribosomal RNA (449 nucleotides) under uncultured bacterium. Its description in RNAcentral is "bacterial SSU rRNA". It matches the Rfam family "Bacterial small subunit ribosomal RNA", at positions 329 to 795 of the family's 1533-position model. The record is from RNAcentral.
GACCAGACUCCUACGGGAGGCAGCAGUGGGGAAUAUUGCACAAUGGGGGAAACCCUGAUGCAGCGACGCCGCGUGAGUGAAGAAGUAUUUCGGUAUGUAAAGCUCUAUCAGCAGGGAAGAAAAUGACGGUACCUGACUAAGAAGCCCCGGCUAACUACGUGCCAGCAGCCGCGGUAAUACGUAGGGGGCAAGCGUUAUCCGGAUUUACUGGGUGUAAAGGGAGCGUAGACGGCAUGGCAAGUCAGAUGUGAAAGCCCGGGGCUCAACCCCGGGACUGCAUUUGAAACUGUCAGGCUGGAGUGCAGGAGAGGUAAGUGGAAUUCCUAGUGUAGCGGUGAAAUGCGUAGAUAUUAGGAGGAACACCAGUGGCGAAGGCGGCUUACUGGACUGUAACUGACGUUGAGGCUCGAAAGCGUGGGGAGCAAACAGGAUUAGAUACCCCGGUAACC